CUUGUUUUCAGUUUUGCAAAGAUUUUACCAUCUGAAAUAUACCAUUUCAGAAAGAAAAGGACUACCUUCUGAUUAAGGCACAAAAUGGCAGCAGAUGGAGCAUCCAUCAAUAAGUCACUUAGGCCAGGCCGCUGUUGGUAAACCGCCAGGAGGAGAGGGAAUCGGGCUGGAGGGAACAGCGUGGAGCUAAGGAGGACAUUCACCAAAUCUGGGCUGCAAGCAGAUGUCCGCUGAGACCCGAAGUGAUUAGGUACAGAUGACGAAAAUUACAUCACAAGGGCUUUGCGAUCAAGUGAACACUAGAGGAGACUGGGAGGUAUUAAUUAGGCUUUAACAUACAGCCAGAGCAAGACAUGCAUUAAAAGACUUUAAGCUGACACUGCAGUAAAAUGUGGUUCAACAAAGUUUUGACUCAGAAUGGCUUAAUUCAAAGGCAUACUGGACUUAUGUGUAAAUAAAAAUAAAUAGAGGUAUGUUUUUCA
Molecule: long non-coding RNA, 482 nt
Organism: Girardinichthys multiradiatus
Lineage: Eukaryota; Metazoa; Chordata; Actinopteri; Cyprinodontiformes; Goodeidae
Exons: 3
Source: RefSeq, a predicted model, not a curated record